ACAAGGUUUCCGUAGGUGAACCUGCGGAAGGAUCAUUGUUGAGCCCCUAAUAGAGAACAUGUGAAUCUGUAAAUGUGAUGCAUGAGCGGUGAGGUGUUGGUGCCCUUCCGUGAAUGCAUGCCCCGCCCUCUGUGGUGCUGCAUUUGUAGCACCUUUGUAGUGUGUGGGCUUAACAACAAACCCUGGUGCAGCUUCGCGCCAAGGAUUAAUCGGUUGAUGUUGGGAUGGCUCCUCGGAGUCAUUUCGGAUGUGCCUUCGGGGUUCAUGUAACCUGUUUUUAGACUUUGAUGACUCUCGGCAACGGAUAUCUAGGCCCUCGCAUCGAUGAAGAACGUAGCGAAAUGCGAUACUUGGUGUGAAUUGCAGAAUCCCGUGAACCAUCGAGUCUUUGAACGCAAGUUGCGCCCGGAGCCGUCAGGCCGAGGGCACGCCUGCUUGGGAGUCACUCCUCGUGGCAUCGUCGUGACCUUCUACAUGGGUCGCAUGGUGGAUGAUGGCCUUCCAUGGCCUUUUGGCUGUGGUGGGUUGAAGGAAGUGGAUGGAGUCUGUCCGGUCGAACUUUGAUCGCGCGGUUGUGUUGGUUUGUUAAUGAUACGUGCUAGGUUGCUCGUCGGAUGGGAGGUAUUGCUGCCGUGCGAAUCCUCGGUUGGUUGGACAAUGCGAUGAUCACCCCUUGAUGGCAGCUGGUCUUGGAUGACCAGCUCUUCUUGCGACCCCAAGUCAGGC
RNAcentral lists this ribosomal RNA (726 nucleotides) under Sagittaria guayanensis. RNAcentral's name for it is "eukaryotic LSU rRNA". The stretch from base 290 to 445 matches the Rfam family "5.8S ribosomal RNA". The record is from RNAcentral. Lineage: Eukaryota; Viridiplantae; Streptophyta; Magnoliopsida; Alismatales; Alismataceae.